AGAAAGAUAAGCUAAUUAAGCUACCAGGUUCAUACCCUGUUUAUAGAAGUAAAAUCUUCUUCUUUCUA
Molecule: transfer RNA, 68 nt
Filed under: Liorhyssus hyalinus (hyaline grass bug)
Lineage: Eukaryota; Metazoa; Arthropoda; Insecta; Hemiptera; Rhopalidae
Also listed under: 1 other name
Description: tRNA-Met
Source: RNAcentral